Apteryx haastii (Great spotted kiwi) is the source of this 1716-nucleotide long non-coding RNA. The record is from Ensembl. NCBI's taxonomy places the organism in Eukaryota, Metazoa, Chordata, Aves, Apterygiformes, Apterygidae.
GCCCUUGUUUUAGACAAACACCAUUAUCCGUUGAGUGGAGCAACUGGCUUUGUGUGACCACAAGGUGGGAAAGGGAGGAUUGGAUACCGGUGAACAGAGACACUGCAGGUUCAUGAGGGGUUAAACAGAGUAGGUUUAAUGAAGGACUUGCACUCCAAACUGCACAGGGAGCCCCAGGAACCGCGCAGAAGGGUUGAUGAUGGGAGGCUGCUGGACGCCCGGGUCAGACCCUCAGCUUGUUGCAUCCUAAGGACCCCUUUACAUCUACUUGAACUAUUUCCUUGUCUCAGCUGUGCUAAGCUUGAGUAGCUACUGUCCAGGAAUCAGCUGGAUGUUGCUGACAAAAGGGAAUGUGCCUGCCUGGCCCUGAUGGGAAUUUGGUCAGUGUGUAGUUUCACAUGCUGGGCCUGCUACCAUGUGCGCUGCCCAUCACUGACUCCUGGCCAGAUCUUCUGCAGGUGUUUUCAAUCCACUCCACCCCCUGACUGACAGAGACGUGGUGUUGGUGCCACCAGUGUGCAGACAAGGUUUGGACAUGCUUUGCAGGUAUUAGCUUAACUAACAGCUAAGUUGCACAAACAGCUAUAUUCUAGUAAAUAUAUGGUACAUUAUAACAUAUAUGCAUGCAAAAAUAAUCAGCUCAAAAGACCAGGAGUAUAAUGCGUUUUCCCCAUAGUCCUAAAUCCAACAACCAUGAUGACAGUUGCUGCCAGGGGUUGUACCAUGCUGGUUCUUUGUCUCUGACAUUGUGUAGUACUUGGAGUAGACUCAUCAUCUUGUGGAUUUCCGUUUCCAUGGGCUUGCUGCAGUGUUGUCGGCUUCCCAGCUACCAUCAGUGUAUGGGGUUAGGAUGCAGAGCAGCAAUGUCGAGCAAUGUUGCAGCUCUGCUCGGCACGUUCAUCAGGUCACGGUUCUCUGGGAGAGAGUCUCCGAAAAUGAAGCAAAUCACAACAUUGCUUUUGGACCCUGAGAAUCAUUGCCUGCUGCUCACGCACUUUCCUGCAAAUCAGCAGGAAAUACAUGAAGGGUCAUAGCUGAGAAUCAGCUUGCAAAGUUGAAAUUUUUUUAUGCAAAUAACUCUGCAAGACCCUUUAGAAUUAUGGUCCUCACCUUCCCACAUGCUCCUCUCUUCCCUAAGGGACUCAUUUCUAGCCUGACAGUUCAGGUGUCCCUCUCAGCUGAGCACUUUUUGCAAUGUGUCACUAGGUUGUUGGAGGCCUGCAGUUUCUGAAAUUCUUGCCAGGAUCUCCAGCCAGGAUGUUAACUCAACCCCCACAUUCAGCUGAUCAGAUACAAGGAACCUCACCAUCAUCAUCCAAGCCAUGUGCCUGCUGCUGGUCUGUGAACUGCUAAGGCAGGAUUGACCUCACAUGCCCAUGCCCCAGCCAUGAGGCUGCUGCUAGCCUAUCAGAGGCUGAGUCAGAAGUGACCUUCCGAGCAAGAACACAAGCCUCGUCCAUCAGAGAAGAGGAAAGGCCAUCAGCAGCCAUGUGGGCUUGCUAGAUGAUUGUAAGGUCACCUCUAACUGAGCAGCUGAUAGGUCAGCACUUGGCUAAUGCUUGGGGCAAUUGUUUGUGAGGUCACUUCUGCCUGAGGACCUGAUAGSCCWCCAAGCAGCACAGRGCUAGGAUGUUGAUUGUGAGGUCAUUCAGAACUGAGUAGCUGAUAGGCCAGAAACAGUUACAUGGCUUGGAUGGUGACUGUGAGAUCACCUCU